UACGAAGGGGGCUAGCGUUGUUCGGAAUUACUGGGCGUAAAGGGCGCGUAGGCGGUGUGUCAAGUCAGGCGUGAAAGCCCCGGGCUCAACCUGGGAACCGCGCUUGAGACUGCACGUCUAGAGUGUCGGAGAGGGAAGCGGAAUUCCUGGUGUAGAGGUGAAAUUCGUAGAUAUCAGGAGGAACACCGGUGGCGAAGGCGGCUUCCUGGACGAUUACUGACGCUGAGACGCGAAAGCGUGGGGAGCAAACAGG
RNAcentral lists this ribosomal RNA (253 nucleotides) under uncultured bacterium. RNAcentral's name for it is "partial 16S ribosomal RNA". It matches the Rfam family "Bacterial small subunit ribosomal RNA", at positions 524 to 776 of the family's 1533-position model. The record is from RNAcentral.